This 465-nucleotide ribosomal RNA is filed under the name uncultured bacterium. RNAcentral describes it as "partial 16S ribosomal RNA". It matches the Rfam family "Bacterial small subunit ribosomal RNA", at positions 28 to 507 of the family's 1533-position model. The record is from RNAcentral.
GACGAACGCUGGCGGCGUGCUUAACACAUGCAAGUCGUACGGUAAGGCCCUUUCGGGGGUACACGAGUGGCGAACGGGUGAGUAACACGUGAGUAACCUGCCCACAACUUUGGGAUAACGCUAGGAAACUGGUGCUAAUACUGGAUAUGUGCUCCUGCUGCAUGGUGGGGGUUGGAAAGCUCCGGCGGUUGUGGAUGGACUCCCGGCCUAUCAGCUUGUUGGUGGGGUAGUGGCCUACCAAGGCGGCGACGGGUAGCCGGCCUGAGAGGGUGACCGGCCACAUUGGGACUGAGAUACGGCCCAGACUCCGACGGGAGGCAGCAGUGGGGAAUAUUGCACAAUGGGCGCAAGCCUGAUGCAGCAACGCCGCGUGCGGGAUGACGGCCUUCGGGUUGUAAACCGCUUUCAGCAGGGACGAAGCUUUUUGUGACGGUACCUGCAGAAGAAGCACCGGCUAACUGCGUG